UAAGGAAUAUUGGACAAUGGUCGCAAGACUGAUCCAGCCAUGCCGCGUGAAGGAUGACGGCCCUAUGGGUUGUAAACUUCUUUUGUACGGGAAAAAACCCCUCUACGUGUAGAGGGCUGAUUGUACUGUAAGAAUAAGGAUCGGCUAACUCCGUGCCAGCAGCCGCGGUAAUACGGAGGAUCCAAGCGUUAUCCGGAUUUAUUGGGUUUAAAGGGUGCGUAGGCGGAAUUGUAAGUCAGUGGUGAAAGCCCUUCGCUUAACGAAGGAACGGCCAUUGAUACUGCAAAUCUUGAGUACAUUUGAUGUGGGCGGAAUGUGUCAUGUAGCGGUGAAAUGCUUAGAUAUGACACAGAACACCGAUUGCGAAGGCAGCUCACAAAACUGUAACUGACGCUGAGGCACGAAAGCGUGGGUAUCAAACAGG
This 424-nucleotide ribosomal RNA is filed under the name uncultured bacterium. RNAcentral describes it as "bacterial SSU rRNA". It matches the Rfam family "Bacterial small subunit ribosomal RNA", at positions 355 to 776 of the family's 1533-position model. The record is from RNAcentral.